This 250-nucleotide ribosomal RNA is filed under the name uncultured bacterium. Its description in RNAcentral is "partial 16S ribosomal RNA". It matches the Rfam family "Bacterial small subunit ribosomal RNA", at positions 524 to 773 of the family's 1533-position model. The record is from RNAcentral.
UACGGAGGGGGCAAGCGUUGUCCGGACUUACUGGGCGUAAAGCGUCCGUAGGCGGAAUGGUGCGUCGCUGCUCAAAGCGCUCGGCUUAACCGAGCGAGGCGUGGCGAUACGACCAAUCUUGAGGGAGGCAGAGGAUGGCGGAAUUCCGGGUGUAGUGGUGAAAUGCGUAGAGAUCCGGAGGAACGCCUGUGGCGCAAGCGGCCAUCUGGGCCUUUCCUGACGCUGAGGGACGAAAGCGUGGGGAGCAAAC